RNAcentral lists this ribosomal RNA (492 nucleotides) under uncultured bacterium. RNAcentral describes it as "partial 16S ribosomal RNA". It matches the Rfam family "Bacterial small subunit ribosomal RNA", at positions 29 to 507 of the family's 1533-position model. The record is from RNAcentral.
AGUGAACGCUGGCGGCAGGCCUAACACAUGCAAGUCGAGCGGAAGCACAGUGAGAGCUCGCUCCUACGGGUGGCGAGGGGCGGACGGGUGAGGAGUACAUAGGAAUCUAAUUUGUCGGGGGGGACAACGGGGGGAAAGAUACGAUAAUACAGCAGACGACGAACGGGUGAGAGCAGGGGAGCAUCGGAGCUUGGGCGACACAAUGAGACGAGGUCGCAUUAGCUAGUUGGGAGGGUAACGGCCCACCAAGGCGACGAUCCGUAGCUGGGCUGAGAGGAUGAUCAGCCACACUGGAACUGAGACACGGUCCAGACUCCUACGGGAGGCAGCAGUGGGGAAUCUUCGACAAAGGGCGAAAGCCUGAUCCAGCCAUGCCGCGUGAGUGAUGAAGGCCUUCGGAUCGUAAAGCCCUUUUAUUGGGGAAGAACAGCAGUAUGUUUAUCCCUCGCUGUUUUGACGGUACCUAAAGAAUAAGCACCGGCUAACUUCGUG